Molecule: long non-coding RNA, 564 nt
Filed under: Androctonus crassicauda
Lineage: Eukaryota; Metazoa; Arthropoda; Arachnida; Scorpiones; Buthidae
Source: RNAcentral
CGAUUAUUAUUUAGGAGUUAUUGAGAGGAAAAAAAAAAAAAACGUGAUACAGAUAACAAUUAAAAAUUACGUAAUUUAUAGCGAUAUAGUUUCUUGUGAGCAGGUAUCUUCUUCACUUUCUUUGCAAUACACGCUUUGCUUCAAUGUAAGAGACGAGACCGUGCAACGAUCAAUACAGGGGAGUGUCAUGGAUUCAACAGGCUUCGGCUAAUGGAGGCGGAGAAGGUUUCCUGCAUUCGAUCGAUAGGAUCGAGCCCGUCAAGAACUACCGCAACAGUGACAUGUUGCUUUACGCUGGCGCAGACCAAUCCAACAAGUGGAAACCUGUUGAAGACUUCGAUGCUUUCUCACACAGUGACGCUGCAUCUGCGAAAAGGAUUUGCAGAAGUUGCUGAGUUUCGUACUUUGAUAUCUUACUUUUCUCCCAACAUGACGAUAAAAUAAAAAUCUCGGAGCAGACAGAAAAAUAAACAUGGAAAAUUAUUUCUGAAAAUGGCGGUUAUAUACUUCUCCGAGUCUGGUGGUUAUAUUAUAUAAUAAUUUUCGUUUUGUGCAACUGACUAG